Bombina bombina (fire-bellied toad) is the source of this 452-nucleotide long non-coding RNA. RefSeq lists it as uncharacterized. The record is from RefSeq and is a predicted model, not a curated record. The transcript is spliced from 3 exons. Lineage: Eukaryota; Metazoa; Chordata; Amphibia; Anura; Bombinatoridae.
CUGCUACUGAGGACCCGGAUGUAGGAUACACUGACCUGUGUCAUGAGGAGAGGUCUCACUGACCAUGAACAAGAUGAAGAAGAAGCUGCCUGAGCGGAUCCUGAAUCACAUCCUGGAGAUUCUCUACCUGCUGACGGGAGAGCGUGUGACUAACUCGCUGACAGCGAGUCACAUGACCGGGGACAAGAUGACGACAGAGAGAAUACUGACCCACACCCUGCAGAUCAUGUACCUGCUGACAGGGGAGAUGAGAUGGAAUAUGUCAUAAUAACAAAUGCAUGUCCCUGUGACCGGCUCUAUUUGUUUAUUUACAUGCAUUAAAAAAGAUUAUAAUAGAUUGUUCUGUAUAUAGGGUUUACUACCUUAUCAAAUUAAAGGUCAUGUUGUUUGUUUUUUGUUUGUUUUUUUCUUGAAGGGCAAAAAAGCAAUAAAACGUUUGUGUAUACAGUGUA